Molecule: non-coding RNA, 46 nt
Filed under: Schistosoma margrebowiei
Lineage: Eukaryota; Metazoa; Platyhelminthes; Trematoda; Strigeidida; Schistosomatidae
Source: RNAcentral
ACACUCUUGAGGAGUCCCACCAUAGGACGAAACGGCCUUCCAGUAU